Galleria mellonella (greater wax moth) is the source of this 1514-nucleotide long non-coding RNA. RefSeq lists it as uncharacterized. The record is from RefSeq and is a predicted model, not a curated record. The transcript is spliced from 3 exons. NCBI's taxonomy places the organism in Eukaryota, Metazoa, Arthropoda, Insecta, Lepidoptera, Pyralidae.
UCAACGGUUCCUGUGUGGUAUUCGUACCUGUGCUGCAGCCUGGACGCUCUUCAUGGUGUGGAGUCGUCUGCUGUUCGGUGUCAUGGCUGACAUGUAAAUUCUCACCUUGUGUAUUGCCCGUAGCCAUGUUUUAUCUAACAUGCACGAUGGACACUACGGAAAUAUACUUAGACUUGUUUAGCUGUAAUUUUCUGUUAAAUAAUAACCACGCUGAUGCAGUUCACUAUUACAGUCAGAUUGCUAAACUUGGAAUGUUCAUUGGCCCUUCAUGCAUUCCUUGUACAACAGUUUCGAGAUCACCUUUUGUUUACUAAAGAGGGUACUCACUGAAAAUUUGCUGGAUAUCUGCGUCUCCAGUACGAGUCUCUUGGACAUGACACUGUCACAAGUGGUCAUAAAAAUAACAACCCACAGAUAUAAAGCACACACAAAAUGGACAAGGAAUAAACAGUACAAUAUGUCGAGCAAGUCAGCGGUGUAGUAAGAUUAGAGAGGCUGUCACUAUGUCUUAAUCCGAAAUCUUGACUCUAAGAACAGGGGGGCAAACGAACAUGCGACUCACCUGAUGGUAAAUGACUACCGCCGUCCAUGAUAACCCACAACACCAAAGGCGUUGCAAGUGUGCUGUCGGCCUUUUAAAAUGGAACAUGCUCUUUUGUUGAAGGUAUCGCAUGAAAGUUGAAAGACAGGGCUGAUUGUGGUAGCAACAGUAUGUGACUUAUCAAGAGUUAACAAAGCUCUAGAUAUCGUCGGUGUCGUGAAGAAGUCAAAGUUCAACUCAAUGAUAAUAAUUGUAAAAAGUUUUUAUUGUCAACCGAAAUACAAUCAGAUGUGUAUUCCAGCGAGUGUUCUAGAUCUAGAAUCACUAAUUGCUGACGCAAUGGCUGCGGUAGAGCAGGUGUCUAGUGAAGUUCAGGCAUGCCAUAUGUCUAUGGGUUUAUAUGUAAAUAAAUAUACAAUAUAAUGAAUAUACUACUUGUAAAGAAAUAUUUUUGGCAUCGAGACCCACAGGCAAUGUUAAUAUUAAUUGAUUUAAAAGUUUCUGAAUACAUAAUGAGAUACACAGAAGCCAAAAUAAUAAGUAAAUGGGGAUGGUUUGCAAAAGAAGUUUAAAAAUAAUAAAAAUACAAUUUUUGGAUUUUUUUUCCUUGUGUUAUAUUGCUUCUUGCCAAAUUUCAUGAUUCUAGGUCAAUAGGAAAUAUCCUAUAAGUUUUGUUUCUCUUUGCAAAUAGCAAAAUAUGCGAUUUAUGUGGAAAAAUAAAGGGCGGUAUCUCUUGAUUGUGUCGAUUUAAAACAUUGAUUUAUUCAUUGCUCUAAGAGAUUGCAGACCUCAGUAUAUAAUACUAAUUUCAUCUUGAUACCUCCAUGAGUUUCUAAAUAAAACAGACAUCAAAGUAGGAACUCUUAUAAGAGUUCCGUUUUUUCCUUUGGAGGUACAUAACCCUAAAAAGCAAAGUUAUAAAAAAAAUACUAACACUAAGAAAUAAAUAAUCUUUGUACACAUAUUAGUAUAC